CCCUUAGAUGUCCGGGGCCGCACGCGCGCUACACUGAAGCAUUCAACGAGUUUCUUCCUGGUCCGAGAGGAAUGGGUAACCUUUUGAAAGUGCAUCGUGAUAGGGAUAGACUAUUGCAAUUAUUGGUCUUCAACGAGGAAUUCCUAGUAGACGUAGUUCAUCAGACUGCAUCGAUUACGUCCCUGCCCUUUGUACACACCGCCCGUCGCUCCUACCGAUUGAAUGCUCAGGUGAGCCAUUCGGACUUUCAUCAUGCUGGUUUCCAGUUUUGAUGAAGGAAAGUCUUGCGAACCUUAUCAUUUAGAGGAAGGAGAAGUCGUAACA
This 324-nucleotide ribosomal RNA is filed under the name uncultured eukaryote. RNAcentral's name for it is "partial 18S ribosomal RNA". It matches the Rfam family "Eukaryotic small subunit ribosomal RNA", at positions 1470 to 1796 of the family's 1831-position model. The record is from RNAcentral.